CACCCGCACGGGACACCGGACCCGGGGUCCGGCGGACAGGGUUCUGAGCGGGCGCACGGGGCGUGGGACCCGAAAGGUGGUGAACUAUACCGUUCUAUGACGAGGCCGUGGGAAACCGCGGUGGAGGUCAGUCGCUGUUCUGACGUGCAAAUUGUGUAGCCUGAGUGUGGCAUAGGGGUGAAAGGCCAAUCGAGCCCCCUAGUAGCUGGUUUCCCCCGAAGUUUCCCUCAGGAUAGCCGGGUUCGGAGGACGCGGUCUCCCCGCGCUCCCCCGUCCCCGGCCCCACCCGGUCCAACACCCACAGGGGGCCCGCCCGCACCCCGCCCUCUCUGCCCGCACGCGGGAGAGUGGUUACGUCCGGUAAAGCAACGCAUGAGAGGCUCACAACUGCGCGGGGGAGGCCUCCCUCCUCCACCUAUUCUCGAACUGUGAAUGGGCGUGGCGAACGAACCCACCCCGGACCCCCGCCCCCCCGGACCGCCCNNNNNNNNNGGCGAAGAGGACGGGGCGGACCGCGGUGCUCCGUGGGGGUCGGGACAGCGUCCACGACCACCCCACGACGCUUCCUCACCCGGCGCCGGAGCCCGUCCCCCUCCCCCCGCUGAGGGCACGGUCCUCCCCGGCCACACCGAGCGUGUUAUUGUGAUCCGAAUGGUCCCGUCUGUCCGGCCCCGCCACGGGGGGGGGGAGGGGCGUGUGCGCGUUCGUCCCGGUGCCACACCGUCGACCGCACCGCCCCCGACCCCCCACCCGCGGCUCGAAGCGAAACGAUGAUGCGAACAGUCAUGUGCCCAUGUGGGCCACCAUUGGUAAGCAGUGCUGGCGACGCGGGGUGCUCCGAGAGCGGACUUACAGAACCAGAGUGCUGGCUCAUACACAGAUCCCACAAAGGAUGUCGCUCGCUAGGGAUAGCGGGACGGUGGCCAUGAAGGUUGGAACCCGCUCAGGACCGUGUAACAACCCACCCGCCGAAGCGUGCGGCUCCGAAAAUGGAUGGUGCCCAAGUCAGUGAAGCCGACUUCGCCUCACAGUCCGCCGCCGCCGCGG
RNAcentral lists this ribosomal RNA (1047 nucleotides) under Euglena velata. RNAcentral describes it as "partial large subunit ribosomal RNA". It matches the Rfam family "Eukaryotic large subunit ribosomal RNA", at positions 750 to 1363 of the family's 3401-position model. The record is from RNAcentral. Lineage: Eukaryota; Euglenozoa; Euglenophyceae; Euglenales; Euglenaceae.